CCUACGGGAGGCUGCAGUGAGGAAUAUUGGUCAAUGGACGAGAGUCUGAACCAGCCAAGUCGCGUGAAGGAUGAAUGCCCUAUGGGUUGUAAACUUCUUUUAUAGAGGAAUAAAACGAGGCACGUGUGCCUUUUUGCAUGUACUUUAUGAAUAAAGAUCGGCUAACUCCGUGCCAGCAGCCGCGGUAAUACGGAGGAUCCGAGCGUUAUCCGGAUUUAUUGGGUUUAAAGGGAGCGUAGAUGGGUUGUUAAGUCAGUGGUGAAAGUUUGCGGCUCAACCGUACACUUGCAAUUGAUACUGGCAGGAUGGAGUACAGUUGAGGGAGGCGGAAUUCGGGGGGUAGCGGUGAAAUGAUUAGAUAUCACGAAGAACCCCGAUUGCGAAGGCAGCUUACUAAACUGUGACUGACAUUGAUGCUCGAAAGUGUGGGUAUCAAACAGGAUUAGAUACCCGAGUAGUC
This 460-nucleotide ribosomal RNA is filed under the name uncultured bacterium. RNAcentral describes it as "partial 16S ribosomal RNA". It matches the Rfam family "Bacterial small subunit ribosomal RNA", at positions 338 to 795 of the family's 1533-position model. The record is from RNAcentral.